CCCAGGAUAGACCAUAUAGGGCGAAUGAAUUAGCCGCCGCGAAUCGCCCUUAGAGUUUGAUCCUGGCUCAGGCUAAACGCUGUGCGGCGCACAUAAGACAUGCAAGUCGAACGGACUUAACCAUUAGUUUACUGAUGGAGCGGUUAGUGGCGGACUGGUGAGUAACACGUAAGCAAUCUGCCUAUCAGAGGGGAACAACAGUUAGAAAUGACUGCUAAUACCGCAUAUGCCUAAGUACCACAUGGUACAAUAGGGAAAGGAGCAAUCCGCUGAUAGAUGAGCUUGCGUCUGAUUAGAUAGUUGGUGGGGUAACGGCCUACCAAGUCGACGAUCAGUAGCCGGACUGAGAGGUUGAACGGCCACAUUGGGACUGAGAUACGGCCCAGACUCCUACGGGAGGCAGCAGUCGGGAAUAUUGCGCAAUGGAGGAAACUCUGACGCAGUGACGCCGCGUGCAGGAAGAAGGUUUUCGGAUUGUAAACUGCUUUAGACAGGGAAGAAACAAGACAGUACCUGUAGAAUAAGCUCCGGCUAACUACGUGCCAGCAGCCGCGGUAAUACGUAGGGAGCGAGCGUUAUCCGGAUUUAUUGGGUGUAAAGGGUGCGUAGACGGGAAAAUAAGUUAGUUGUGAAAUCCCUCGGCUUAACUGAGGAACUGCAACUAAAACUGUNUUUCUUGAGUACUGGAGAGGAAAGUGGAAUUCCUAGUGUAGCGGUGAAAUGCGUAGAUAUUAGGAGGACACCAGGGCAGAAGGUGAUUUUCUGGACAUAUACUGACGUUGAGGCAAGAAUAUGUGGGGAGCAUACAUGACUAGAUACCCUGGUAGUCCACACUGUUAGCGAUGCAUAAUAGGUGUAGAGGAUUAUAAAUAUUAAGUGCCGCUGCUGACGCAAUAAGUAUCACACCUGGGGAGUACGGCUGACAAGUUUGUCACUAAAAGGUAUUGACGGGGGCCCGAACAAGCAGUGGAGUAUGUGGUUUAAAUGGACGCUAUCGUGUAGAACCUUAUCCAGGAGCAUGACUAUAUAUCCUGACAGCACUUAAGUAGAGUCAGUCCGGUGUCUCGGAACAGGUAUACAGGUGGUGGAUGGAUAUUGCCAGCUCGUGUCUUGAGAAGGGGUUUGGGUCCAUCUAAGUGCGCAACCGCUGUUUUCACUUGUCAGUAUGUAAUGAUGUGAACUAUGGAGAGGUCGGCGAUGAUACAUAGGAGGAAGUCGGAGACGAGGUCAUAUAAUCAUGCCCUGUACGUUUUGGUAUACACACAUAUGACAAUGGGUAAUACAAGGAGAAGCGAAUCCAGUGAUGUGGAGCUUCACUUAUGAUAGUAAUAUCAGUUAGGAUUAUAGCAUCAGACUGGCAUACACGGAUCUGGCAUGAUAGUAAUGGCAGGUCAGAUAGAUUCGGAGGUUAUAUGCGCGGGCCUAGUACACAUCGUGAGUCCAGGGUCAGACUUUGUAUGGGACAUGUCAGGAGCUAGUCCAAUUUAAUGAGGCUUAUUCUGGUCUGCAUCUGG
RNAcentral lists this ribosomal RNA (1514 nucleotides) under uncultured bacterium. RNAcentral's name for it is "partial 16S ribosomal RNA". It matches the Rfam family "Bacterial small subunit ribosomal RNA". The record is from RNAcentral.